Talpa occidentalis (Iberian mole) is the source of this 233-nucleotide long non-coding RNA. RefSeq lists it as uncharacterized. The transcript is spliced from 3 exons. Lineage: Eukaryota; Metazoa; Chordata; Mammalia; Eulipotyphla; Talpidae. The record is from RefSeq and is a predicted model, not a curated record.
ACAGAGAAAUGAAAAUGCUUCUUCAAGUUCUAUAGCCACUGAAGUGUUGAACCAGAGUAUAUGAGAAUAUUCACAAGUUUCAGGCACUCAGUUGUAAACAUCUUUGAUGGACCACAUUCUGCGCACCAUAGAUGAGAACAAGUUUUUUAGUAAAAUAAUUACCAGAGACACUAAGUGGAGAACAGCAUUUCUAAAUGCCUGUUUAAAAGAAGAAAAAGAAGAAAGAAAGAAAA